GGGAAUGUGGCUUAGUGGUAGAGUGCUUGCCUAGCAUGCAUGAGGCCCUGGGUUCAACACCCAGCACCA
RNAcentral lists this transfer RNA (69 nucleotides) under Marmota marmota marmota (Alpine marmot). It matches the Rfam family "tRNA". Rfam says of the family: Transfer RNA (tRNA) molecules are approximately 80 nucleotides in length. Lineage: Eukaryota; Metazoa; Chordata; Mammalia; Rodentia; Sciuridae. The record is from Rfam by way of RNAcentral. RNAcentral also lists the same sequence under 2 other names.